UUAACCUCGCUACGCUCACUGCCGAUCAGGCGACGUUUGAGAAUGCGGUGGAGGCAUCGCUGGAAGUGCACGGCGGCGGGGAUUGUCCCGAGAUGGCAGUCGGCGGUAUCAACCUGGCGCUGCGACGCUCCUCCCGCGAUCGUUCAUAUUUGUGUUCACUGACGCCUCGGCCAAGGACUACCAACUGAAAACCCAAGCACUGAGCUUGAUUCAGGAAACCCAGAGUCAGGUCAUAUUCGUAUUGACGGGUGACUGUAAUGAUCAAAGCGGAGAAGGGUUCCGAGCCUUCAAAGACAUUGCUGCUGCAUCAGCUGGCCAGAUUUUCUUUCUCCGGCAAAAGAAUGAGGUCGCCGAGGUAUUGAAGUUUAUCGAGAUCUCUGUCAUCGCUAGGCAGGUGAACAUACUGUCUGUGGAGACACGACCGGGUGCUGCACGUUAUCAAAUUCCCGUGGACGGCAGCUUGCAGCAGCUGAUUGUGUCGGUCAGUACAAACACAACAACUGGAGUCAACGUUCGUCUGCCG
Sycon ciliatum is the source of this 523-nucleotide long non-coding RNA. RefSeq lists it as uncharacterized. The transcript has 4 exons. NCBI's taxonomy places the organism in Eukaryota, Metazoa, Porifera, Calcarea, Leucosolenida, Sycettidae. The record is from RefSeq and is a predicted model, not a curated record.